This 1430-nucleotide ribosomal RNA is filed under the name Nanobdellota archaeon. Its description in RNAcentral is "bacterial SSU rRNA". It matches the Rfam family "Archaeal small subunit ribosomal RNA". The record is from RNAcentral. Lineage: Archaea; Nanobdellati; Nanobdellota.
AAUCCAGUUGAUCCUGCUGGAGGCUGCGGCUCUCUGGUUUGCGCUAAGACAUGCAAGUCUCUCGCAAGAGGGCAAACUGCUCAGUAACACGUCGGUAACCUGCCCUUAGGUUAUGGAUAAGCACGGGAAACUGUGUCUAAUACAUAAUAAGAGACUUACCCUGGAACGAUUUGUCUCACAAAUUUGCGCCUAAGGAUGGGCCGGCGGCGGAUUAGGUUGUUGGCGGGGUAAUAGCCCACCAAGCCGAAGAUCCGUAAGGGCUCUUAGCGGAGAGGCCCUGAGAGGGAAUCUGAGACACUAUUCCCAGCCCUACGGGGUGCAGCAGUUAGGAAUCAUUUGCAAUGCGCGAAAGCGUGACAGUUUGAGCCAGAGUGCUUCUCACUUGAGAAGCUUUUGCCAAAUGUAAAAAGUUUGGCGAAUAAGGACUGGGUAAGACGAGUGCCAGCCGCCGCGGUAAUACUCGCGGUCCAAGUCGCAGCCAUCAUUAUUGGGUCUAAAACAUCCGUAGCUUGCCAGGAAAGUUCCUUGUGAAAUCCGGCAUCUCAAGUGUCGGGCGUGCAAGGAGUACUGCCGGGCUAGAGACUGGAAGACGUAAGAAGUACGUUCUAAGUAAUGGUAAAAUAUGUUAAUCUAGGACGGACUCACAACAGCGAAGGCAUCUUACGAGGACAGUUCUGACAGUAAGGGAUGAAGGCUAGGGGCGCAAAACGGAUUAGAUACCCGUGUAGUCCUAGCAGUAAACACUGCACACUAAACAUUAGUACCUCCUCGAGAGGUAUUGGUGCUGAAGGGAAGCCGAAGAGUGUGCUACCUGGGAAGUAUAGUCGCAAGGCCGAAACUUAAAGGAAUUGGCGGGGAGAUACUACAAUGGGUGACGCGUGCGGUUCAAUUAGAUUCCACACCGUGAACCUCACCAGGAGCGACAGCAGAAUGAAGGUCAGUCUAAAGGGCUUACCUGACACGCUGAGAGGAGUUGCAUGGCCGACGUCAGCCUGUGCCGUGAGGUGACUUGUUAAAUCAAGUAACAGGCAAGACCCGCGUGUAUAUUUACAAGAGCUAUAUACAGAUUGCCAUGGUAACAUGGAUGAAAGUGCGGGCUACGUUAGGUGAGUACAGCCCGAAUCCCCUGGGCAACACGCGCGCGUCAAUGGCAGAUACAAUUGGAUGCAACUCCGAAAGGAGAAGCUAAUCCCUUAAAAUCUGUCUCAGUCCAGAUCGAGGUUUGCAAUUCAGCCUCGUGACGCUGGAAUCCAUAGUAAUCGGAUUUUAUCAGAGUCCGGUGAAUACGUCAAUGUCUCUUGCACACACUGCCCGUCAAACCAACCGAGUUUAGUUAUGGUGAAACCCUUCGGGGGAGAACCUUGACUAGACAAGGUCGGGUAAGUCGUCACAAGGUAUCUGUAGGGGAACCUGCAGAUGGAUCACCUCCU